Molecule: ribosomal RNA, 253 nt
Filed under: uncultured bacterium
Lineage: Bacteria
Description: partial 16S ribosomal RNA
Rfam family: Bacterial small subunit ribosomal RNA
Source: RNAcentral
UACGUAGGGCGCAAGCGUUGUCCGGAAUUAUUGGGCGUAAAGGGCUCGUAGGCGGUUUGUCACGUCAGGAGUGAAAACUCGGGGCUCAACCCCGAGCCUGCUUCUGAUACGGGCAGACUAGAGGUAUGCAGGGGAGAACGGAAUUCCUGGUGUAGCGGUGAAAUGCGCAGAUAUCAGGAGGAACACCGGUGGCGAAGGCGGUUCUCUGGGCAUUACCUGACGCUGAGGAGCGAAAGUGUGGGGAGCGAACAGG